Molecule: ribosomal RNA, 207 nt
Filed under: uncultured bacterium
Lineage: Bacteria
Description: partial 16S ribosomal RNA
Rfam family: Bacterial small subunit ribosomal RNA
Source: RNAcentral
ACGCUCGACACCUACGGAGCAGCAGUCGGGAAUAUUGCGCAAUGGAGGAAACUCUGACGCAGUGACGCCGCGUGCAGGAAGAAGGUUUUCGGAUUGUAAACUGCUUUAGACAGGGAAGAACAAAUGACAGUACCUGUAGAAUAAGCUCCGGCUAACUACGUGCCAGCACGCCGGACGGUAAUCUGACGGCGGGCGUGGACGAACGGC